UUUGAUAUAGAGUAGAAUGAUUUAUAGAUGCAGGAGGUAAAUAUCAAUACUGUUUCAAGAAGUGCAGAUUGAAUGAACUGAAGAUCCUGAUUGAAGAUUGAAGAAGAUUGAAUAUGAUGUAGCGCUGACUGGGAUCGAGAGUCACAAGAUUGUAGAUCACAGAAAUGUUGAAGAAGACUUGAGAUUCCAGUUGUCAAUAGACAGAAGCCAAUAUCAAAGUAACAGAUUGCAGGAUUUGAAAUAG
RNAcentral lists this long non-coding RNA (244 nucleotides) under Zostera marina. RNAcentral's name for it is "long non-coding RNA (ZMAR_LNC000934)". Lineage: Eukaryota; Viridiplantae; Streptophyta; Magnoliopsida; Alismatales; Zosteraceae. The record is from RNAcentral.